UACGUAGGGUGCGAGCGUUACUCGGAAUUACUGGGCGUAAAGCGUGCGCAGGCGGUUUUGUAAGCCAGAUGUGAAAUCCCCGGGCUUAACCUGGGAAUGGCAUUUGGGACUGCAAGGCUGGAGUGCGGCAGAGGAGACUGGAAUUCCCGGUGUAGCAGUGAAAUGCGUAGAUAUCGGGAGGAAUACCGAUGGCGAAGGCAGGUCUCUGGGCUGACACUGACGCUCAUGCACGAAAGCGUGGGGAGCAAACAGG
This 253-nucleotide ribosomal RNA is filed under the name uncultured bacterium. RNAcentral's name for it is "partial 16S ribosomal RNA". It matches the Rfam family "Bacterial small subunit ribosomal RNA", at positions 524 to 776 of the family's 1533-position model. The record is from RNAcentral.